GACGAACGCUGGCGGCGUGCUUAACACAUGCAAGUCGAACGGAAAGGCCCCUUUGGGGGUACUCGAGUGGCGAACGGGUGAGUAACACGUGAGUAACCUGCCCUUGACUUCGGGAUAACUUCAGGAAACUGGGGCUAAUACCGGAUAGGAAUCCUUGCUGAAUGGUGGGGGUUGGAAAGCUUCGGCGGGUGUGGAUGGACUCGCGGCUUAUCAGCUUGUUGGUGGGGGAGUGGCUGACCAAGGCUUGGACGGGUAGCCGGCCUGAGGGGGCGACCGGCCACAUUGGGACUGAGAUAAGGCACAGACUCCUACGGGAGGGAGAAGGGGGGAAUAUUGCACAAUGGGCGGAAGCCUGAUGCAGAAACGCCGCGUGCGGGAUGACGGCCUUCGGGUUGUAAAACGAUUUCAGCAGGGGCGAAGCUUGUGGUGACGGUACCUGACGAAGAAGCACCGGCUAACUACGUG
This 465-nucleotide ribosomal RNA is filed under the name uncultured bacterium. RNAcentral describes it as "partial 16S ribosomal RNA". It matches the Rfam family "Bacterial small subunit ribosomal RNA", at positions 28 to 507 of the family's 1533-position model. The record is from RNAcentral.